GGAAGAACUAACAAGGAUUCCCCUAGUAACUGCGAGUGAAGCGGGAAAAGCUCAAAUUUAAAAUCUGUCAGUCCUUUGGCUGUCCGAGUUGUAAUCUAGAGAAGUGUUAUCCGCGCUGGACCGUGUACAAGUCUCCUGGAAUGGAGCGUCAUAGAGGGUGAGAAUCCCGUCUUUGACACGGACUACCAGGGCUUUGUGAUGCGCUCUCAAAGAGUCGAGUUGUUUGGGAAUGCAGCUCAAAAUGGGUGGUAAAUUCCAUCUAAAGCUAAAUAUUGGCGAGAGACCGAUAGCGAACAAGUACCGUGAGGGAAAGAUGAAAAGAACUUUGGAAAGAGAGUUAAACAGUACGUGAAAUUGCUGAAAGGGAAACGCUUGAAGUCAGUCGCGUUGACCAGGGAUCAGCCUUGCUUUUGCUUGGUGUACUUUCUGGUUGACGGGUCAGCAUCAAUUUUGACUAUUUGAAAAAGAUCAGGGGAAUGUGGCAUCUUCGGAUGUGUUAUAGCCCUUGGUUGCAUAAAAUGGUUAGGAUUGAGGAACUCAGCACGCCGCAAGGCCGGGUUUUUAACCACGUACGUGCUUAGGAUGCUGGCAUAAUGGCUUUAAUCGACCCGUCUUGAAACACGGACCAAGGAGUCUAACAUGCCUGCGAGUGUUUGGGUGGAAAACCCGAGCGCGUAAUGAAAGUGAAAGUUGAGAUCCCUGUCGUGGGGAGCAUCGACGCCCGGACCAGACCUUUUGUGACGGUUCCGCGGUAGAGCAUGUAUGUUGGGACCCGAAAGAUGGUGAACUAUGCCUGAAUAGGGUGAAGCCAGAGGAAACUCUGGUGGAGGCUCGUAGCGAUUCUGACGUGCAAAUCGAUCGUCAAAUUUGGGUAUAGGGGCGAAAGACUAAUCGAACCAUCUAGUAGCUGGUUCCUGCCGAGUUUCCC
This 928-nucleotide ribosomal RNA is filed under the name Cortinarius sp. CSAK369. Its description in RNAcentral is "eukaryotic LSU rRNA". It matches the Rfam family "Eukaryotic large subunit ribosomal RNA", at positions 55 to 972 of the family's 3401-position model. Lineage: Eukaryota; Fungi; Basidiomycota; Agaricomycetes; Agaricales; Cortinariaceae. The record is from RNAcentral.